This 253-nucleotide ribosomal RNA is filed under the name uncultured bacterium. RNAcentral describes it as "partial 16S ribosomal RNA". It matches the Rfam family "Bacterial small subunit ribosomal RNA", at positions 524 to 776 of the family's 1533-position model. The record is from RNAcentral.
UACGAAGGGGGCUAGCGUUGCUCGGAAUUACUGGGCGUAAAGGGUGCGUAGGCGGGUCUUUAAGUCAGGGGUGAAAUCCUGGAGCUCAACUCCAGAACUGCCUUUGAUACUGAGGAUCUUGAGUUCGGGAGAGGUGAGUGGAACUGCGAGUGUAGAGGUGAAAUUCGUAGAUAUUCGGAAGAACACCAGUGGCGAAGGCGGCUCACUGGCCCGUUACCGACGCUCAGGCGCGACAGCGUGGGGAGCAAACAGG